RNAcentral lists this transfer RNA (73 nucleotides) under Marmota monax (woodchuck). Its description in RNAcentral is "tRNA.Ala". It matches the Rfam family "tRNA". From Rfam's summary of the family: Transfer RNA (tRNA) molecules are approximately 80 nucleotides in length. Their secondary structure includes four short double-helical elements and three loops (D, anti-codon, and T loops). Further hydrogen bonds mediate the characteristic L-shaped molecular structure. tRNAs have two regions of fundamental functional importance: the anti-codon, which is responsible for specific mRNA codon recognition, and the 3' end, to which the tRNAs corresponding amino acid is attached (by aminoacyl-tRNA synthetases). tRNAs cope with the degeneracy of the genetic code in two manners: having more than one tRNA (with a specific anti-codon) for a particular amino acid; and 'wobble' base-pairing, i.e. permitting non-standard base-pairing at the 3rd anti-codon position. The record is from RNAcentral. Lineage: Eukaryota; Metazoa; Chordata; Mammalia; Rodentia; Sciuridae.
GUGGGGCUGUGGCUCAGUGGUUGAGCACCUGUCUUGCACAUGGGAGGUACUGGGUUCGAUCCUCAGCACCACA